GACGAACGCUGGCGGCGUGCUUAACACAUGCAAGUCGAACGAAGUGGCGGACGGGUGAGUAACGCGUAAUCAACCUGCCCUUCAGAGGGGGAAAACAGUUGGAAACGACUGCUAAUACCCCAUAAUGAAGGAGGGGAUUGCGUCUGAUAAGCUAGUUGGAGGGGUAACGGCCCACCAAGGCGAGGAUCAGUAGCUGGUCUGAGAGGAUGACCAGCCACACUGGGACUGAGACACGGUCCAGACUCCUACGGGAGGCAGCAGUGGGGAAUAUUGCACAAUGGGCGCAAGCCUGAUGCAGCCAUGCCGCGUGUGUGAAGAAGGUCUUCGGAUUGUAAAGCACUUUAAGUUGGGAGGCGUUACCAACAGAAUAAGCACCGGCUAACUACGUGCCAGCAGCCGCGGUAAUUC
RNAcentral lists this ribosomal RNA (408 nucleotides) under uncultured bacterium. RNAcentral's name for it is "partial 16S ribosomal RNA". It matches the Rfam family "Bacterial small subunit ribosomal RNA", at positions 28 to 526 of the family's 1533-position model. The record is from RNAcentral.